AAGUCGUAACAAGCUUUCCGUACUGCGGAAGGAUCAUUACGUUAACCCCCUGUGAACCUUCACCUGUACUCGUACGUCCGUUAGAAAAAGCAGCAAUCCCUGGUAAAUCAUCGAAGGAGCGUGCAUAUUGUAGUGGCCUGGCAUCCCCAAGCAGCUAGUGUCUGAAAGUGUCAUUAACUGUGUAAGGAUGAGCAGUCACGAUCGUUGGAGGCCCACACGGCCGACGACCCCACUGUAACAAUGGCC
RNAcentral lists this unclassified non-coding RNA (246 nucleotides) under fungal sp. RNAcentral's name for it is "partial internal transcribed spacer region". Lineage: Eukaryota; Fungi. The record is from RNAcentral.